RNAcentral lists this ribosomal RNA (511 nucleotides) under uncultured Enterobacterales bacterium. RNAcentral describes it as "bacterial SSU rRNA". It matches the Rfam family "Bacterial small subunit ribosomal RNA", at positions 29 to 528 of the family's 1533-position model. The record is from RNAcentral. Lineage: Bacteria; Pseudomonadati; Pseudomonadota; Gammaproteobacteria; Enterobacterales.
AUUGAACGCUGGCGGCAGGCCUAACACAUGCAAGUCGAACGGUAGCGCAGAGGAGCUUGCUCCUUGGGUGACGAGUGGCGGACGGGUGAGUAAUGUCUGGGAAACUGCCCGAUGGAGGGGGAUAACUACUGGAAACGGUAGCUAAUACCGCAUAACGUCGCAAGACCAAAGAGGGGGACCUUCGGGCCUCUUGCCAUCGGAUGUGCCCAGAUGGGAUUAGCUAGUAGGUGGGGUAACGGCUCACCUAGGCGACGAUCCCUAGCUGGUCUGAGAGGAUGACCAGCCACACUGGAACUGAGACACGGUCCAGACUCCUACGGGAGGCAGCAGUGGGGAAUAUUGCACAAUGGGCGCAAGCCUGAUGCAGCCAUGCCGCGUGUAUGAAGAAGGCCUUCGGGUUGUAAAGUACUUUCAGCGAGGAGGAAGGCGUUGUGGUUAAUAACCGCAACGAUUGACGUUACUCGCAGAAGAAGCACCGGCUAACUCCGUGCCAGCCGCCGCGGUAAAAGGG